Molecule: small RNA, 27 nt
Filed under: Bombyx mori (domestic silkworm)
Lineage: Eukaryota; Metazoa; Arthropoda; Insecta; Lepidoptera; Bombycidae
Description: ovarian small RNA-36240
Source: RNAcentral
UGUUUCCAAGGAAAAUUACGCUACUGC